GUUCAAUUUGAAUAGUUUGCUUGUUAGAUCUGCGUAUUCGUAAUGCGAAGGUCGUCAGUUCGAUUCUGGCUUUGGGCA
RNAcentral lists this transfer RNA (78 nucleotides) under Waddliaceae bacterium. Its description in RNAcentral is "tRNA-Thr". The record is from RNAcentral. Lineage: Bacteria; Pseudomonadati; Chlamydiota; Chlamydiia; Parachlamydiales; Waddliaceae.